UGGAUUCAGCGGCGGACGGGUGAGUAAUGCCUAGGAAUCUGCCUGGUAGUGGGGGACAACGUUUCGAAAGGAACGCUAAUACCGCAUACGUCCUACGGGAGAAAGCAGGGGACCUUCGGGCCUUGCGCUAUCAGAUGAGCCUAGGUCGGAUUAGCUAGUUGGUGAGGUAAUGGCUCACCAAGGCGACGAUCCGUAACUGGUCUGAGAGGAUGAUCAGUCACACUGGAACUGAGACACGGUCCAGACUCCUACGGGAGGCAGCAGUGGGGAAUAUUGGACAAUGGGCGAAAGCCUGAUCCAGCCAUGCCGCGUGUGUGAAGAAGGUCUUCGGAUUGUAAAGCACUUUAAGUUGGGAGGAAGGGUUGUAGAUUAAUACUCUGCAAUUUUGACGUUACCGACAGAAUAAGCACCGGCUAACUCUGUGCCAGCAGCCGCGGUAAUACAGAGGGUGCAAGCGUUAAUCGGAAUUACUGGGCGUAAAGCGCGCGUAGGUGGUUUGUUAAGUUGGAUGUGAAAUCCCCGGGCUCAACCUGGGAACUGCAUCCAAAACUGGCAAGCUAGAGUAUGGUAGAGGGUGGUGGAAUUUCCU
This 589-nucleotide ribosomal RNA is filed under the name Pseudomonas sp. EECC-127. Its description in RNAcentral is "bacterial SSU rRNA". It matches the Rfam family "Bacterial small subunit ribosomal RNA", at positions 87 to 672 of the family's 1533-position model. Lineage: Bacteria; Pseudomonadati; Pseudomonadota; Gammaproteobacteria; Pseudomonadales; Pseudomonadaceae. The record is from RNAcentral.